UGAGGAUCACUGGAGCUUGCUG
RNAcentral lists this non-coding RNA (22 nucleotides) under Mus musculus (house mouse). The record is from RNAcentral. Lineage: Eukaryota; Metazoa; Chordata; Mammalia; Rodentia; Muridae.